This is a non-coding RNA of Caenorhabditis elegans, 197 nucleotides long. The record is from Ensembl. Lineage: Eukaryota; Metazoa; Nematoda; Chromadorea; Rhabditida; Rhabditidae.
CUAGGUAUGAUGAGCUAUCGCUCUCUUCCAGUGAGCGGGGGCCACAUCUGCCCUGUUAGUAGAUCGAAUUAUCCGAAGGGUCGGUGUUAUUGCCGGCUUCUUCUUUGUGAUAUGUACACUGGUGUAAUCCAUUUACGGCAAUCGAGAAUCCUCUUCUCUCCAUAUAUAUGUCUUCCGAUGAGUGCCUCAACUUGUUA